Molecule: ribosomal RNA, 466 nt
Filed under: uncultured bacterium
Lineage: Bacteria
Description: bacterial SSU rRNA
Rfam family: Bacterial small subunit ribosomal RNA
Source: RNAcentral
CCAGACUCCUACGGGAGGCAGCAGUGAGGAAUAUUGGUCAAUGGACGAGAGUCUGGACCAGCCAAGUAGCGUGAAGGAUGACUGCCCUAUGGGUUGUAAACUUCUUUUAUAAAGGAAUAAAACGAGGCACGUGUGCCUUUUUGCAUGUACUUUAUGAAUAAGGAUCGGCUAACUCCGUGCCAGCAGCCGCGGUAAUACGGAGGAUCCGAGCGUUAUCCGGAUUUAUUGGGUUUAAAGGGAGCGUAGAUGGGUUGUUAAGUCAGUUGUGAGAGUUUGCGGCUCAACCGUAAAAUUGCAAUUGAUACUGGCAGUCUUGUGUACAGUUGAGGUAGGCGGAAUUCGUGGUGUAGCGGUGAAAUGCUUAGAUAUCACGAAGAACUCCGAUUGCGAAGGCAGCUUACCAGUCUGCGACUGACGCUCAGGCACGAAAGUGUGGGUAUCGAACAGGAUUAGAUACCCCUGUAAG